GCAAGGUCGAGGAAAGUCCGGACUCCACAGGGCAGGGGGCAAGGCUGUAAUGGCCUUGGGGGCUGGGGCAAACCCGGUCGACGGAAAGUGCCACAGAGACUAGACAGCCAGCUUGCUGGCGAUAGGUGAAAUGGGUGGGGCAAGAGCCCACCGCGGCAGUCCGCGAGGAAGGCCGGCAAUCAGGCAAACCCACCCCGGAGCAAGAUCAAAUAGGAGGUCUGACGGGCGGCCCGUCCGGCGUCCGGGCGAAAGCCGGGACUAAGACUUCGGGUUGAUUGCUCAGAUGAAUGACCGGUUAAAACAGAAUCCGGCUUACUC
Molecule: RNase P RNA, 318 nt
Filed under: bovine gut metagenome
Description: Bacterial RNase P class A
Rfam family: Bacterial RNase P class A
About the family: Ribonuclease P (RNase P) is a ubiquitous endoribonuclease, found in archaea, bacteria and eukarya as well as chloroplasts and mitochondria. Its best characterised activity is the generation of mature 5'-ends of tRNAs by cleaving the 5'-leader elements of precursor-tRNAs. Cellular RNase Ps are ribonucleoproteins.
Source: RNAcentral